This 492-nucleotide ribosomal RNA is filed under the name uncultured bacterium. Its description in RNAcentral is "partial 16S ribosomal RNA". It matches the Rfam family "Bacterial small subunit ribosomal RNA", at positions 29 to 507 of the family's 1533-position model. The record is from RNAcentral.
AGUGAACGCUGGCGGUAGGCCUAACACAUGCAAGUCGAACGGCAGCACAGUAAGAGCUUGCUCUUACGGGUGGCGAGUGGCGGACGGGUGAGGAAUACAUCGGAAUCUACUUUUUCGUGGGGGAUAACGUAGGGAAACUUACGCUAAUACCGCAUACGACCUACGGGUGAAAGCAGGGGAUCUUCGGACCUUGCGCGAUUGAAUGGGCCGAUGUCGGAUUAGCUAGUUGGCGGGGUAAAGGCCCACCAAGGCGACGAUCCGUAGCUGGUCUGAAAGGAUGAUCAGCCACACUGGAACUGAGACACGGUCCAGACUCCUACGGGAGGCAGCAGUGGGGAAUAUUGGACAAUGGGCGCAAGCCUGAUCCAGCCAUACCGCGUGGGUGAAGAAGGCCUUCGGGUUGUAAAGCCCUUUUGUUGGGAAAGAAAAGCAGCAGGUUAAUACCCCGCUGUUCUGACGGUACCCAAAGAAUAAGCACCGGCUAACUUCGUG